This 715-nucleotide ribosomal RNA is filed under the name uncultured bacterium. RNAcentral describes it as "bacterial SSU rRNA". It matches the Rfam family "Bacterial small subunit ribosomal RNA", at positions 56 to 804 of the family's 1533-position model. The record is from RNAcentral.
UGCAGUCGCACGAGAAAGUGGAGCAAUCCAUGAGUACAGUGGCGUACGGGUGAGUAACACGUGGAUCAUCUACCUUCUAGUGGGGAAUACCUCCGGGAAACUGGAGACAAUACCGCAUAAGCUCGUAAGAGGAAAGCAGCAAUGCGCUGGAAGAGGAGUCCGCGGCUGAUUAGCUAGUUGGCGGGGUAAUGGCCCACCAAGGCGAAGAUCGGUAGCCGGCCUGAGAGGGCACACGGCCACACUGGCGCUGAAAUACGGGCCAGACUCCUACGGGAGGCAGCAGUGGGGAAUCUUGCACAAUGGAGGAAACUCUGAUGCAGCGACGCCGCGUGAGCGAUGAAGCCCUUCGGGGUGUAAAGCUCUUUCGACGGGAACGAUAAUGACGGUACCCGAAGAAGAAGCUGCGGCUAACUACGUGCCAGCAGCCGCGGUAAUACGUAGGCAGCAAGCGUUGUUCGGAAUUACUGGGCGUAAAGAGUGUGUAGGCGGUGUUCUAAGUCUGUUGUGAAAUCUCCCGGCUUAACUGGGAGGGUGCGGCGGAAACUGGAAUGCUAGAGGAUGGGAGAGGUAAGCGGAAUUCCUGGUGUAGCGGUGAAAUGCGUAGAUAUCAGGAGGAACACCUGUGGUGUAGACAGCUUACUGGACCAUUUCUGACGCCGAGACACGAAAGCGUGGGUAGCAAACAGGAUUAGAUACCCUGGUAGUCCACGCCCUA